This 405-nucleotide ribosomal RNA is filed under the name uncultured bacterium. Its description in RNAcentral is "partial 16S ribosomal RNA". It matches the Rfam family "Bacterial small subunit ribosomal RNA", at positions 28 to 526 of the family's 1533-position model. The record is from RNAcentral.
GAUGAACGCUGGCGGCGUGCCUAAUACAUGCAAGUCGAGCGAAGCGGGGACGGGUGAGUAACACGUGGAUAACCUCCUAUAAGACUGGGAUAACUUCGGGAAACCGGAGCUAAACCUGAUGCUUAUAGAUGGUUCCGCGCUGCAUUACCUAGUUGGUAAGGUAACGGAUUACCAAGGCAACGAUGCAUAGCCGACCUGAGAGGGGGGUCGGCCACCCCGGAACGGAAAUGCGGCCCAGACUCCUCUGGGAGGCAGCAGUAGGGAAUCGUCCGUAAGGGGCGAAGGGCUGACCGAGAACAGCCGAGUGAGGGAUGAAGUUCUUCGGAUAUUAAACCUCUGUUAUUAGGGAAUAGGUACCUAAUCAGAAAGCCACGGCUAACUACGUGCCAGCAGCCGCGGUAAUAC